ACUCAAAUGAAUUGACGGGGACCCGCACAACCGGUGGAGCGUGUGGUUCAAUUCGAGACAAAACGAAGAACCUCACCAGGGUUUGACAUAUUACCGUUUAUCCCGUUGGAAACAGUGGGAAAUCCGUAAGGAUGGUAUUACAGGUGCUGCAUGGCUGUCGUCAGUUCGUGCCGUGAGGUGUUCCCUUAAGUGGGGAAACGAACGCAACCCCCGUGUAAUGUUAAAUAUUCAUUGCAGACGGUCCCGAUUAUAUCGGGAAGGAAGGAGGGGUAGAUGUCAAGUCAGCAUGGCCCUUACACCCUGGGCUACACACACACUACAAUGGCGAAGAACAAUGGGUUGCAAGCGCGCAAGUGCAAGCUAAUCCCUGAAAUUUCGCCCCAGUUCAGAUUGGGGUCUGAAACCCGACCCCAUGAAGUCGGAAUCGGUAGUAAUCGCGGAUCAGCAUGCCGCGGUGAAUACGUUCUCGGGUCUUGUACACACCGCCCGU
This 490-nucleotide ribosomal RNA is filed under the name uncultured bacterium. RNAcentral describes it as "partial 16S ribosomal RNA". It matches the Rfam family "Bacterial small subunit ribosomal RNA", at positions 899 to 1397 of the family's 1533-position model. The record is from RNAcentral.